AGAGCGAACGCUGGCGGCAGGCCUAACACAUGCAAGUCGAGCGCCCGUAGCAAUACGGGAGCGGCAGACGGGAUAGUAACACGUGGGAACGCGCCCUUCGGUUCGGAAUAACUCAGGGAAACUUGAGCUAAUACCGGAUACGCCCUUACGGGGAAAGAUUUAUUGCCGAAGGAACGGCCCGCGUCCGAUUAGCUAGUUGGUGAGGUAAUGGCUCACCAAGGCGACGAUCGGUAGCUGGUCUGAGAGGAUGACCAGCAUCACUGGGACUGAGACACGGCCCAGACUCCUACGGGAGGCAGCAGUGGGGAAUAUUGGACAAUGGGCGCAAGCCUGAUCCAGCCAUGCCGCGUGGAUGAUGAAGGCCUUAGGGUUGUAAAGUCCUUUUAACGGGGAAGAUAAGUGACGGUACCCGUAGAAUAAGCCCCGGCUAACUUUGUGCCAGCAGCCGC
Molecule: ribosomal RNA, 449 nt
Filed under: uncultured bacterium
Lineage: Bacteria
Description: SSU rRNA
Rfam family: Bacterial small subunit ribosomal RNA
Source: RNAcentral